This 370-nucleotide transfer-messenger RNA is filed under the name Pseudonocardiaceae. Its description in RNAcentral is "Saccharopolyspora sp015209505 Standard tmRNA". It matches the Rfam family "transfer-messenger RNA". Rfam says of the family: Bacterial tmRNA, also known as 10Sa RNA or SsrA, is named for its dual tRNA and mRNA-like properties. Its role is to liberate the mRNA from a stalled ribosome. RNAcentral also lists the same sequence under 1 other name. Lineage: Bacteria; Bacillati; Actinomycetota; Actinomycetes; Pseudonocardiales. The record is from RNAcentral.
GGGGGUGAACGGUUUCGACUCCGUACGGUGAUCCGAGGGAAGCGUGCCGGUGCAGGCGGGAGACCACCGUGAAGCGUCGCCGUCAACCAAUAAGCGCCGACAAGAGUCAGCGCGAGUUCGCCCUCGCUGCCUGAGCGAGGAGCAACUCUGUCGGACCGGGUUAGCCUCCGCCCCGGAAUCCGGCAUCAGCUAGGAGGCUCACCACCAGGUCCGGUCGCGGGAGCUAGUGGGACACCGAACAGCGACUGGGCUUGUCACACCGGCUCGUCCGCGUGACCGGUGAAGCCGAGUAGAGACAGAGCGGACUGCGCACGGAGAAGUCUCGGUGAUGCGUCGGAGGACCCGGGUUCGAUUCCCGGCACCUCCACGU